AGAGUUUGAUCAUGGUUCAGGACGAACGCUGGCGGCGUGCCUAAUACAUGCAAGUCGAGCGGAGACAGUGAGUAGCUUGCUAUGAGCUGUUUUAGCGGCGGACGGGUGAGUAACGCGUGAGCAACCUUUCCCAGACAGGGGAAUAACACACCGAAAGGUGUACUAAUACCGCAUAAGACCACGGGAUCACAUGGUUCUGGGGUAAAAGAUUUAUCGGUUUGGGGUGGGCUCGCGUCCGAUUAGGUAGUUGGUGAGGUAACGG
This 262-nucleotide ribosomal RNA is filed under the name uncultured bacterium. RNAcentral describes it as "partial 16S ribosomal RNA". It matches the Rfam family "Bacterial small subunit ribosomal RNA", at positions 8 to 263 of the family's 1533-position model. The record is from RNAcentral.